AUGGGGAGUAGGGUUAAACUGAUGGGAGGUAGGGUUAAACUGAUUGGGAGUAGGGUUAAACUGAUGGGGAGUAGGGUUAAACUGAUGAGGGGUAGAGUGAAAUUGAUGAGGGGUAUUGUUAAACUGAUGAGGGGUAAUGUUAAACUGAUGAGGGCUAGUGUUAAACUGAUGAGGGGUAGUGUUAAACUGAUGGGGGGUAGUGUUAAACUGAUGAGGACUAGUGUUAAACUGAUGAGGGGUAUAGUUAAACUGAUGAGGGGUAGUGUUAAAUUGAUGAGGGGUAGAGUGAAAUUGAUGAGGGGUAGUGUUAAACUGAUGAGGACUAGUGUUAAACUGAUGAGGAUUAGUGUUAAACUGAUGAGGGGUAUUGUUAAACUGAUGAGGGGUAGAGUGAAAUUGAUGAGGGGUUGUGUUAAACUGAUGAGGGGUAUUUUUAAACUGAUGAGGGGUAGUGUUAAACUGAUGAGGGGUAGAGUUAAAUUGAUGAGGGGCAGAGUUAAAUUUAAGAUGGGUAGUGUUAAACUGAUGGGGGGUAGUGUUAAACUGAUGAGGGUUAGAGUUAAAUUGAUAGGAAGUAGGGCUAAACUGAUGGGAGGUAGGGUUAAACUGAUGGGGAGUAGGGUUAAAGUUAUGGGAUGUAGAGCUAAACUGAUGGGGAGUAGGGUUAAACUGAUGAGGGGUAGAGAUAAAUUGAUGGGGAGUAGGGUUAAACUGACGAGGGAUAGUGUUAAACUGAUGAGGGGUAGAGAUAAAUUGAUUGUGAGUAGUGUUAAACUGAUGGGGAGUAGGGUUAAAGUGAUGGGAGGUAGGGUUAAACUGAUUGGGAGUAGGGUUAAAUUGAUGGGAGGUAGGGUUAAACUGAUUGGGAGUAGGGUUAAACUGAUUAGGGGUACUGUUAAACUGAUGAGGGGUAGAGUUAAAUUGAUGAGGGGCAGAGUUAAAUUUAAGAGGGGUAGUGUUAAACUGAUGGGGGGUAGUGUUAAACUGACGAGGGGUAGAGUUAAAUUGAUAGGGAGUAGGGUUAAACUGAUGGGAGGUAGGGUUAAACUGAUUGGGAGUAGGGUUAAAUUGAUGGGGAGUAGUGUUAAAGUGAUGGGGAGUAGGGUUAAACUGAUGGGGAGUAGGGUUAAACUGAUGGGAGGUAGGGUUAAACUGAUGGGGAGUAGGGUUAAACUGAUGGGGAGUAGGGUUAAACUGAUGGGGAGUAGGGUUAAAUUGAUGGGGAGUAGGGUUAAAGUGAUGGGGAGUAGUAUUAAACUGAUGGGGAGUAGGGUUAAAGUGAUGAGGAGUAGUAUUAAACUGAUGAGGGCGAGUGAUAAACUGAUGAGGGGUAUUGUUAAACUGAUGAGGGGUAGUGUUAAACUGAUGAGGGGUAGUGUUAAACUGAUGAGGGUAGUGUUAAACUGA
RNAcentral lists this long non-coding RNA (1407 nucleotides) under Oncorhynchus mykiss (rainbow trout). Its description in RNAcentral is "lncRNA (ENSOMYG00000010573.2)". The record is from RNAcentral. Lineage: Eukaryota; Metazoa; Chordata; Actinopteri; Salmoniformes; Salmonidae.